UACGAUUUAAAGAGAAGGAAC
This 21-nucleotide non-coding RNA is filed under the name Caenorhabditis elegans. Lineage: Eukaryota; Metazoa; Nematoda; Chromadorea; Rhabditida; Rhabditidae. The record is from RNAcentral.